RNAcentral lists this transfer RNA (71 nucleotides) under Marmota monax (woodchuck). RNAcentral describes it as "tRNA.Ala". It matches the Rfam family "tRNA". Rfam says of the family: Transfer RNA (tRNA) molecules are approximately 80 nucleotides in length. Their secondary structure includes four short double-helical elements and three loops (D, anti-codon, and T loops). Lineage: Eukaryota; Metazoa; Chordata; Mammalia; Rodentia; Sciuridae. The record is from RNAcentral.
GGGGUUGUGGCUCAGCGGUAGAGUACUUGCCUAGCGCAUAUGAGGCCCUGAGUUUGAUCCUCAGCACCACA